RNAcentral lists this ribosomal RNA (563 nucleotides) under uncultured bacterium. RNAcentral describes it as "partial 16S ribosomal RNA". It matches the Rfam family "Bacterial small subunit ribosomal RNA", at positions 355 to 905 of the family's 1533-position model. The record is from RNAcentral.
UGGGGAAUAUUGGACAAUGGGCGAAAGCCUGAUCCAGCCAUGCCGCGUGUGUGAAGAAGGUCUUCGGAUUGUAAAGCACUUUAAGUUGGGAGGAAGGGCAUUAACCUAAUACGUUAGUGUUUUGACGUUACCGACAGAAUAAGCACCGGCUAACUUCGUGCCAGCAGCCGCGGUAAUACGAAGGUGCAAGCGUUAAUCGGAAUUACUGGGCGUAAAGCGCGCGUAGGUGGUUCGUUAAAGUUGGAUGUGAAAGCCCCCGGGCUCAACCUGGGAACUGCAUCCAAAAACUGGCGAGCUAGAGUACGGUAGAGGGGUGGUGGAAUUUCCUGUGUAGCGGUGAAAUGCGUAGAUAUAGGAAGGAACACCAGUGGCGAAGGCGACCACCUGGACUGAUACUGACACUGAGGUGCGAAAGCGUGGGGAGCAAAACAGGAUUAGAUACCCUGGUAGUCCACGCCGUAAACGAUGUCAACUAGCCGUUGGGUUCCUUGAGAACUUAGUGGCGCAGCUAACGCAUUAAGUUGACCGCCUGGGGAGUACGGCCGCAAGGUUAAAAACUUAAA